RNAcentral lists this ribosomal RNA (603 nucleotides) under Charybdis granulata. Its description in RNAcentral is "partial 28S ribosomal RNA". The stretch from base 523 to 603 matches the Rfam family "Eukaryotic large subunit ribosomal RNA", at positions 813 to 893 of the family's 3401-position model. Lineage: Eukaryota; Metazoa; Arthropoda; Malacostraca; Decapoda; Portunidae. The record is from RNAcentral.
CCAAGGAGUCUAACAUGUGUGCGAGUCAUUGGGCGCACUAAACCCAGAGGCGCAAUGAAAGUGAAAGGGGGGCGUCCCGGGGUCCUCGUGGCCUCGCUGCGGCGCCCUCCGGGGCCGAUCCCCGACCGGCGCGCUCUACUACAAGCCGCCGCCGCCCAUUCCAAAGCGGGACCGCAAAAGAGGCGGUGCGCGCGGGGUGAGUCCCUUUCCCCCGCCGCAUCGUCGGUCUCGCGGGUGUCUCCGCGGCGCGCUCGCGACGGUCCGACCCGCAAGGGUCGCCUGUACGCAGGGGGGCGCAGGCCCGGGACUUGCCAUGCGACGCCGUCGCGCGAAUCUGUUGUUGGUCACUUCGGCUUUGCUUGGGCUCUCGGUUGGCGUGCCGCGUGUCUUUGGGCGGGCUUUGGGGGGUGGGCUCCGGCUCCCUCCCGGGCUCGUCCGGCGCGGUGGCGCUCUCCGAUCCUGCUCUGUCCGGGGUGGCCUAGCGCGCGUGCUGUCGGCAAGUACCAUGAGCAGACAUGUUGGGACCCGAAAGAUGGUGAACUAUGCCUGGCCAGGAUGAAGCCAGAGGAAACUCUGGUGGAGGUCCGCAGCAAUUCUGACGUG